RNAcentral lists this ribosomal RNA (545 nucleotides) under Metarhizium anisopliae. Its description in RNAcentral is "eukaryotic LSU rRNA". The stretch from base 153 to 306 matches the Rfam family "5.8S ribosomal RNA". Lineage: Eukaryota; Fungi; Ascomycota; Sordariomycetes; Hypocreales; Clavicipitaceae. The record is from RNAcentral.
UGCGGAGGGAUCAUUACCGAGUUAUCCAACUCCCAACCCCUGUGAAUUAUACCUUUAAUUGUUGCUUCGGCGGGACUUCGCGCCCGCCGGGGACCCAAACCUUCUGAAUUUUUUAAUAAGUAUCUUCUGAGUGGUUAAAAAAAAUGAAUCAAAACUUUCAACAACGGAUCUCUUGGUUCUGGCAUCGAUGAAGAACGCAGCGAAAUGCGAUAAGUAAUGUGAAUUGCAGAAUUCAGUGAAUCAUCGAAUCUUUGAACGCACAUUGCGCCCGUCAGUAUUCUGGCGGGCAUGCCUGUUCGAGCGUCAUUACGCCCCUCAAGUCCCCUGUGGACUUGGUGUUGGGGAUCGGCGAGGCUGGUUUUCCAGCACAGCCGUCCCUUAAAUUAAUUGGCGGUCUCGCCGUGGCCCUCCUCUGCGCAGUAGUAAAACACUCGCAACAGGAGCCCGGCGCGGUCCACUGCCGUAAAACCCCCCAACUUUUUAUAGUUGACCUCGAAUCAGGUAGGACUACCCGCUGAACUUAAGCAUAUCAAUAAGCGGGAGGA